This 895-nucleotide long non-coding RNA is filed under the name Homo sapiens (human). Its description in RNAcentral is "HSALNT0002791". Lineage: Eukaryota; Metazoa; Chordata; Mammalia; Primates; Hominidae. The record is from RNAcentral.
GGGCAUCCAAAUCUUGCGGCAACGCCCCCGGGACAUGCAUCGUCCCCUGGACUCUCUCAAACCCCUUAUCCCUCUGGACAGAAUGCAGGUCCAACCACGCUGGUAUACCCUCAAACCCCUCAGACAAUGAAUUCACAACCUCAAACCCGUUCUCCGGUAAGUAAGCAGAAGCUUGAACCAAAUUACAUUCUCUACCUGUGUUUGUGUGUGUAGUGGCUUGGGUUUCUUUGGCAAAUAUUUUUACUGGAUUUUGGAAGUUUGUUCCAAAGAUGAUUUAUUAUUAUGACUCCUACUAUUAUUUGUUAGCUUUGUAUUUUCAGACCUUACCUAUAGCAAUAAUUAAAUUUAUUGAGAAAAAGAAGAGGUGGAGCUUUUAACCCUCCACUCCCUUUUAAUACUUUUCUAUAGCAUGAUUUUUAAGUCUGGUUGCAUUCAAGUUUACUUUAUUUCAGCUUAUAAUUUUUGUUAGUUGUACUGUUCAAAAUUCAGGUAAGAGUAAAAUACAAUGAUUUUAGGAGUAAAUUGAAUUUCACUAAUUAAAUUCUCAAAUUCCAGUGGUUUUGGGAAGCAGGACUUUUGAAUCAGUGUUAUUAGAUCUGUUCUAACCAUUUAACAGUGUGGGUAUAUGCAUGACAUAUACCAGUGAGUGUAUUCAUUUAUUCAAAUGAGAAAUAAAUUGUGAUACAAAUGUAAAUGCUAUCAUCCUCUUUGUUCAUCCUUUACAUGAAUUGCAAUAAGUACUGCCAAGACUGAGAAUUUACACAAGGUUCAUCCUUUGUUUCACAAAAGUAUACAGUGGCUUCAGCUCUCCAUUCCUUAGAACAUCGUUUCCUGCCCUGCAUGAUUAGCUUUGGCUAGAAGGUGCUUCUGUAACAUCUCACAUUGUGUAUCUCAC